RNAcentral lists this ribosomal RNA (249 nucleotides) under Tenuitellita fleisheri. RNAcentral's name for it is "Tenuitella fleisheri partial small subunit ribosomal RNA". It matches the Rfam family "Eukaryotic small subunit ribosomal RNA", at positions 1214 to 1404 of the family's 1831-position model. Lineage: Eukaryota; Foraminifera; Rotaliida; Candeinidae. The record is from RNAcentral.
CUUACCGGGUCCGGACACACUGAGGAUUGACAGGCAAUAUAUGAUUCAGCUUUCGGGUUGUUUCAUUGUUAAAUAUGCUAGUCCUUUCAUGAUUAUGUGAUAGGUGGUGCAUGGCCGUUCUUAGUUCGUGGAGUGAUCUGUCUGCUUAAUUGCGUUUCACUUAAUUUAUAGGAUCUAAUAUUUUUACGAGUGAGUAGGUUUUGACCCACACUGCAUUUUAUUAUGUGGUGGUCCGUGCGUCAUUACAAU